This is a long non-coding RNA of Tachysurus vachellii, 199 nucleotides long. RefSeq lists it as uncharacterized. NCBI's taxonomy places the organism in Eukaryota, Metazoa, Chordata, Actinopteri, Siluriformes, Bagridae. The record is from RefSeq and is a predicted model, not a curated record. The transcript is spliced from 3 exons.
AGCUGAGAUACUGUCUAAGAUAAAUAAUCUCAAAUGGCUUGUGAUGAUCCUGAAGUAUAGAAUUUAAAGAUGCCAAUCAGCUUACAAGGCAUGUCUGGAUUUGGGGAGGAGAAAACUGGAGAACCUGGAGAGACACACAGCAGGCUUUUUGGAGAACACCGUCUUCACUCCUCUCUAAUUACCAGGACCACUUAACCCC